GGGGGUGUAAUGGUUUCGACAUGCAUGGACUAUUAGUUAUUGCAGUAGUUUGGCAGACUAUAAUGCUUCUAGGUAUUUCUUAAACGGAAAUAAAGAAGAAAAAGCUGAAUACUCAGCAUGAAACCCAGCUUUCGCUGGAAAUACAAGCCUAGCUUUUGCCUAAUUUGCAAUUCUAGCCGUGAUCAAUUUUUCCUGGAAAUUGAUUAACGAGUCAACAGGAUAGUUUAAAUUGAUUCUAAUAAAUUUAAAUGAAAUUAAUUAGGAAUUGUAUUAAUAUGUUUGAUUAUUUAAUGCUAAUAUAAUUUAAUAAAAAAUAAUCUAAACUGUAGACAUAGCUAAAAAAUUCAUGUGUGGACCCGGGUUCGACUCCCGGCAUCUCCACCA
This 384-nucleotide transfer-messenger RNA is filed under the name Mycoplasma anserisalpingitidis. It matches the Rfam family "transfer-messenger RNA". From Rfam's summary of the family: Bacterial tmRNA, also known as 10Sa RNA or SsrA, is named for its dual tRNA and mRNA-like properties. Its role is to liberate the mRNA from a stalled ribosome. To accomplish this part of the tmRNA is used as a reading frame that ends in a translation stop signal. Lineage: Bacteria; Bacillati; Mycoplasmatota; Mollicutes; Mycoplasmatales; Mycoplasmataceae. RNAcentral also lists the same sequence under 1 other name. The record is from RNAcentral.